CUGCGUCCCAAGCGUGGUUCCCGGACGGAGUUCGACGUGGGACUCGGCCCGAUGUAAAUUUCGGCGGCCGCUCGGCGUAUGGCGGUGAGCGGCGCGGAAGGGACGCCUGGGUGGCGGGGCUCGGGGCGGUCGGCGGCGCCCCGUGACUCUCGUGCUGCCUCCCUUUCCCCAGGCUCUAGGACGUCCUGCUCGGAGGGUGCCAGCAGCCCUGGAACCUGGUGCCGCUCGCGCGUCCCGCAAACCCCAGCUCCCGGGCCGGGGCCCCGAUGCCCCGGGUCCUUCCGCCUUGGGUCUCCACUGGGCGCAACCCACGUGCGUUGCCGCCGCCUCCGGAGCGCACCCCGUCCGCGAUGAAGGUGUGGCUGUCUCGAAGAAGCAAAAGAAGAAGAAAACCCAGACCAGGGUCUCUGUGGCGAAUGGAGGCGAGAAGGCCUCCGAGAAGCCUGCCGCAGAGGACUCUCCCCUAAGCUCCGAGGCCCAGGCAAGGGUGGGUUCUCCGGUGAAUCUGGGAGCGAGUCUGCGAGUGGUGUGGUCCAAGAUCUGCUGGGGGCGAGGGUGGUUAAGGCCUGGCGGGAAGUGGGGUGUGGCUUGCGGGGGGUGGUGGUGGGGGGGUCCCAGUGCCUCUUGUAACAAUUCAUCACAGGCGGAGCAGCUGGCCCGGGAACUGGCCUGGUGUGUGGAGCAGCUGGAGCUGGGCCUCAAGAUGCAGAGACCUACCCCAAAACAGAGUGAGGGUCCUUCACAUAUAGUUGGGGGGAUGUGAUAGUGACAGUGGUUCUGCAAGGGGAUGUAAUUGUUUUUGCGAUAGGACAACAGGAGUUGAGCAUACAUAGUUACUAGUCGUUUGUGUGUUUUUAAUAUUUUUUUAGUUGUAGAUGGGCACAAUACCUUUAUUUAUUUUUAUGUGGUGCUGGGGAUAGAACUCGGUGCCUCACAUGUGCAAGGCAAGCUCUCUAUCACUGAGGCACAACCCCACUCACUUGUCCUUUGUUUUUAUCUGCAGAAGAGCAGGCCAUUGGCGCAAUCCGAACUCUACAGAGUCAAAGAACUCCCCUGCCUCGAAAGAGGCAGCUGAUGCACUCCUUGUUUGGGGACUACAGGGCCCAGAUGGAGGCCGAGUGGCAAGAGUCCUUGCGGGCUCUCAGGGCUGGUGAGUAUCUUGGGAAGUGGUUAGUUCAGUAUACUUAGUUCAAGGGGGUAGGGAGUAACUAUCUAGGGAGUGGAAAGGAGAACCUCAGAACAUGCUGGGUGCAAUGGUACAAGCAUAUAAUCUCAGCUGCCUGGGAGGCUGAGGCAGGAGGAUUUCAACUUGGUGAGACCCUGUUUCAAAAUAAAAAAAAAUAUUUAAAAAAAUGGUUGGGAUAUGGCUUAGUAGUUGAGAGCCUCUGGAUUUAAUCCCCAGUACUUUAAAAAAAAAAAAAAAAGUCUAGAACAGAAAGGCUGGUCCUGGAUGGAGAUGGGCUCAGGGAAGCCUGAGCAGGGAGUCUGUACAUCUUGUGGGGGUUGGGAGGAAGUGAAGUGGCUGGCUUCUCCUGGUUCUGUUCCUUUGGUGGGGAAAGGUGUCCCCACCUGCCUUUGCUUUGACUUUCUCUAUGGGCCAUGAAGCCAGAUGCCAUAGCAUUGUGAGUAUGAUUCCUAGGGCUGAGUAACCUUGGUUCAAACCCUGUUUCUACAACUUGAUCUUGACAUAUUUGUCAGAUUACUGAAUCUGAUUCUAAACAUGGGGUGAUGAUAAUAUAAUAAUUUUGAGAAACUGAUUAGUAAAUUUUAAUAACAGUUGGAAUUGUGUGGGAUUCAUAACUGCAUAGAUAAUGUGAGCUAUUACUCAGUUCUGACCCUUUGCUUCCCCUUUCAUUGACAGCUGCCCGUUCAGCCCAAGUGCAGCCUGUAGGUGAGGCCUUCAGAAAGAAGAGCCAAAGGAUCUGCAGACCUCGUCCAGCAGGGAGAGCCAAGGCCACUCUGGACAUUCCUGAUGAAGAGUUUAGGUUCAAUUUCUUUUAGCUUCUCCCCUAUCUUGGCACAGUCCUCUCUCCCUCACGGUGUUGUCAAGGUUUGUCGUGACUGUAGUGCCUUUCUAGGAAUUCUCUGUCAGCAGGUAUGAGAUUGGUUGGUUCUUGCCUGGUCCAUGCAUCUGAGUUUGUUGGGCAGGUGUGAGACUGUCAGAUGAGCAUAAGACUCCAUUUGUAGAUUUUCUAAAUGAAAUAUGUCUUCUGCCAGAAGAGAGAGAGGUGCAUUUAGGAGAGGUGCAUUUAGCUUCUAUGAUAAGCUGAAGUGAGUGUUCAGUUAUUAUUGAACUUGCUGGGUGUGGUGGCAUACGCCUGUAAUCCCA
RNAcentral lists this long non-coding RNA (2329 nucleotides) under Marmota monax (woodchuck). Lineage: Eukaryota; Metazoa; Chordata; Mammalia; Rodentia; Sciuridae. The record is from RNAcentral.